Non-coding RNA from Acanthosepion pharaonis, 114 nucleotides. Lineage: Eukaryota; Metazoa; Mollusca; Cephalopoda; Sepiida; Sepiidae. The record is from the annotation of a GenBank genome assembly.
UUGUGGUCAAAUCAUAUUGAAACACCAGUUCUCAUACAAUCACCAAAGUUAAGCAAUACUGAGCUCAGUCAAUAACUAGAUGAGUGACCACUUGGGAACAGCAGGUGCUGUAAG